GAGUUUGAUCCUGGCUCAGGACGAACGCUGGCGGCGCGCCUAACACAUGCAAGUCGAACGGAGCUUAGAGAGCUUGCUUUUUAAGCUUAGUGGCGAACGGGUGAGUAACGCGUGAGUAACCUGCCCUAGAGUGGGGGACAACAGUUGGAAACGACUGCUAAUACCGCAUAAGCCCACGGUACCGCAUGGUACUGAGGGAAAAGGAUUUAUUCGCUUUAGGAUGGACUCGCGUCCAAUUAGCUAGUUGGUGAGGUAACGGCCCACCAAGGCGACGAUUGGUAGCCGGACUGAGAGGUUGAACGGCCACAUUGGGACUGAGACACGGCCCAGACUCCUACGGGAGGCAGCAGUGGGGGAUAUUGCACAAUGGGGGAAACCCUGAUGCAGCGACGCCGCGUGGAGGAAGAAGGUUUUCGGAUUGUAAACUCCUGUCGUUAGGGACGAUAAUGACGGUACCUAACAAGAAAGCACCGGCUAACUACGUGCCAGCCGCCGCGGUAAUAC
This 504-nucleotide ribosomal RNA is filed under the name uncultured bacterium. RNAcentral describes it as "bacterial SSU rRNA". It matches the Rfam family "Bacterial small subunit ribosomal RNA", at positions 9 to 526 of the family's 1533-position model. The record is from RNAcentral.